This is a long non-coding RNA of Pan troglodytes (chimpanzee), 236 nucleotides long. RefSeq lists it as uncharacterized. Lineage: Eukaryota; Metazoa; Chordata; Mammalia; Primates; Hominidae. The transcript is spliced from 3 exons. The record is from RefSeq and is a predicted model, not a curated record.
GGUACAUAAAAUAAUGGUGUGUCUCACAGCAACGGGCAUCUCAAGAGACAAUGAAAAAUGGUGAUGUGACAGAGGUGGUUCUCACUCUGUUGUCCAGGCUGGAAUGCAGUGGCGCCAUCUCAGCUCACUGCAACCUCUGCCUCUUGGUCUCAAGAGAUGCCCCCAUCUCAGCCUCCCAAGUAACUGGGACUACAGGUCUGUGGCUUCAGAAGUGAUGUGCCCUCUUUAAUUUCAGG